UACAGAGGGUGCAAGCGUUGUUCGGAAUUAUUGGGCGUAAAGAGCUCGUAGGCGGUCUGUCGCGUCUGCUGUGAAAAUCCAGGGCUCAACCCUGGACCUGCAGUGGGUACGGGCAGACUAGAGUGCGGUAGGGGAGAUCGGAAUUCCUGGUGUAGCGGUGAAAUGCGCAGAUAUCAGGAGGAACACCGGUGGCGAAGGCGGAUCUCUGGGCCGUAACUGACGCUGAGGAGCGAAAGCAUGGGGAGCGAACAGG
Molecule: ribosomal RNA, 253 nt
Filed under: uncultured bacterium
Lineage: Bacteria
Description: partial 16S ribosomal RNA
Rfam family: Bacterial small subunit ribosomal RNA
Source: RNAcentral